Molecule: ribosomal RNA, 245 nt
Filed under: uncultured bacterium
Lineage: Bacteria
Description: partial 16S ribosomal RNA
Rfam family: Bacterial small subunit ribosomal RNA
Source: RNAcentral
GCGAUCUUAAGCAAAUCCCAAAAAAGGACGCCCCAGUUCGGAUUGCAGCCUGCAACUCGGCUGCAUGAAGCUGGAAUCGCUAGUAAUCGCGGAUCAGAAUGCCGCGGUGAAUACGUUCCCGGGUCUUGUACACACCGCCCGUCACACCAUGGGAGCCGGAAACGCCCAAAGACAGCGGCCUAACCGCAAGGAGGGAACUGUCUAAGGCGGGCCUGGUGACCGGGGUGAAGUCGUAACAAGGUAUC